Molecule: ribosomal RNA, 499 nt
Filed under: uncultured bacterium
Lineage: Bacteria
Description: partial 16S ribosomal RNA
Rfam family: Bacterial small subunit ribosomal RNA
Source: RNAcentral
GAUGAACGCUAGCGGCAGGCCUAAUACAUGCAAGACGAGCGGCAAGAAUUGUAGCAAUACGGUUCCUAGAGUGUCGCACGGGUGCGUAACACGUAUGCAACCUACCUUGUACAGGAGUAUAGCUCGGGGAAACUCGAAUUAACCCUCCAUAAUAUAAUCGGAUGGCAUCAUCUGAUUAUUAAAACUUCGGUGGUACAAGAUGGGCAUGCGUUUGAUUAGCCAGUUGGCGGGGUAAAGGCCCACCAAGGCGAUGAUCAAUAGGGGAACUGAGAGGUUGAUCCCCCACACUGGCACUGAGAUACGGUCCAGACUCCUACGGGAGGCAGCAGUAGGGAAUAUUGGUCAAUGGAUGGAGGUCUGAACCAGCCAUGCCGCGUGCAGGAAGAAGGCCUUCUGGGUUGUAAACUGCUUUUGACAGGGGAUAAAAAUUCUUUGCGAAGAAAAUUGAAGGUACCUGGUGAAUAAGCACCGGCUAACUACGUGCCAGCCGCCGCUGUAA